UAAUAAAAAUACUUGUUUGUUCAGUUAUAACAUAUUUAAUUUGAAAAAUAAUUUAUUAUUUAAGUAAAUUUUAAUAAAAUAAUUGUAAAUUACUAUAGUGUAUUAGUACAGUGAUGGAAUGUAAAUAAAAAUUUAUAAAUAUAGAAUGUUUAAAAUACUAUACCUUGUGUAUUAGGGAAAUUUAAUAUAAAUUAAUAAACUUAAGUAUCUCGAAAUAAAAACAGCUAGAUUUAUAGUAUUGUGCUUGUAGAAUAAAGCUUUAAAAUAUAAAUCUAAAGAUGAUAUGUUAUCAGAGUUUUAUUAUAUCUAGUUUUUUUGGAAUAAAAUUUAAUUUUUAUUUUAAAUAUAAUAAAUUUAAAAUUUAAUUAUAGGAGGGAGUAGCUUCUUAUAAAACUAUAAUUAAGAGUUUUAUAAAUAAAAUUGUUUAAAACUAGGCUUAAAAGCAGCCAUGUUAAAAAAGUGUUACGGCUUAUUAAUAACAAACUACUAUUUAUGAAUAACUUUGAAUAAAUACGAAAACUUUCUACAAACUAAAAACGUGUGAGCGAUAAUAAAUUUAUUAGUACAAUAUAAUGUAAAAAAUUAAAAUAUAAUAACUAAAGUAAUAAAUUGAUUAUAAUUUUGAAAUAUAAAGGAACUCGGCAAAUUAUUUUCUUGCCUGUUUAUCAAAAACAUGUCUAUUUGAAGAUAUAAAAAGUCUAAUCUGCCCACUGAAAUAAUAAUUAAAGGGCCGCAGUAUUUUGACUGUGCAAAGGUAGCAUAAUCGUUUGGUUUUUAAUUGAGAUCUUGUAUGAAUGAUUUGACAAAGAAAAUUCUGUCUUUAUACUUAUAAAUUGAAUUUAACUUUUAAGUGAAAAGGCUUAAAUAACUUAAUAAGACGAUAAGACCCUAUAAAACUUUAUAUGUUUCUUUAUUGGUUGAGUUAUAUAACUAAUAAAAAUUUAAUAAAAUGUACAUAUUAUAUUGGGGUGAUAUUUACAUAAUGAUUGGUAACUGUUAAAUUGUUUAUACAUAGUUAAUUGAGUGAAAUCCAAAAUGAUCCUAUUAUAAAGAUUAAGAGUUUAAGUUACUUUAGGGAUAACAGCGUUAUUUUUUUUGAGAGUUCUUAUCGAAAAAAAAGUUUGCGACCUCGAUGUUGAAUUAAAAUUUCUC
This 1152-nucleotide ribosomal RNA is filed under the name Ilyoplax pacifica. RNAcentral's name for it is "partial 16S ribosomal RNA". Lineage: Eukaryota; Metazoa; Arthropoda; Malacostraca; Decapoda; Dotillidae. The record is from RNAcentral.